GCUUGCAUAUAUGACCCCUACCACAGGGCUGCCGGCUCAUUGGCAUCUCUACAACGGCUCCACUCGCGGCCGCCUCGAUGUCCUGGCUCCUUGCAGUCCUUCCGGGGCUCAGGCUUCCCGCUGGCGGCGUGGCUCAUCCCUGGCAAGUCUAACUCAAUCAUCUUCGCUGAUGCUCUUCGUCAAAUCUUGAAAUCUCUUAGUGGCGGACGGGUGAAUUAACGCGUGGGUUAACCUGCCUUUAACAGGGGGAUUAACAGUUAUAAAUGACUGCUAAUACCGCAUAAGCGCACAAUACCGCAUGGUAUAGUGUUGAAAAGAAUUUAUCGGUGUAAACAUGGACCCGCGUCUGAUUAGCUAGUUGGUGAAGGUAACGGCCCACCAAGGCGAACAUCAGUAGCCGGCCUGAGAGGGUGAACGGCCACAUUGGGAAUGAGACACGGCCCAAACUCCUACGGGAGGCAGCAGUAGGGAAUAUUGGACAAUGGGGGCAACCCUGAUCCAGCGACGCCGCGUGAGUGAAGAAGUAUUUCGGUACGUAAAGCUCUAUCAGCAGGGAAGAAAAUGACGGUACCUGACUAAGAAGCACCGGCUAAAUACGUGCCAGCAGCCGCGGUAAUACGUAUGGUGCAAGCGUUAUUCGGAUUUACUGGGUGUAAAGGGAGCGUAGACGGCAUAGCAAGUCUGAAGUGAAAUGCGGGGGCUCAACCCCUGAACUGCUUUGGAAACUGUUAAGCUAGAGUGUCGGAGAGGUAAGUGGAAUUCCUAGUGUAGCGGUGAAAUGCGUAGAUAUUAGGAGGAACACCGGUGGCGAAGGCGGCUUACUGGACGAUAACUGACGUUGAGGCUCGAAAGCGUGGGGAGCAAACA
Molecule: ribosomal RNA, 867 nt
Filed under: uncultured bacterium
Lineage: Bacteria
Description: bacterial SSU rRNA
Rfam family: Bacterial small subunit ribosomal RNA
Source: RNAcentral